RNAcentral lists this ribosomal RNA (1343 nucleotides) under uncultured bacterium. Its description in RNAcentral is "16S ribosomal RNA". It matches the Rfam family "Bacterial small subunit ribosomal RNA", at positions 28 to 1378 of the family's 1533-position model. The record is from RNAcentral.
GACGAACGCUGUUGGCGUGCUUAACACAUGCAAGUCGAACGGAAAGGCCCUGCUUUUGUGGGGUGCUCGAGUGGCGAACGGGUGAGUAACACGUGAGUAACCUGCCCUUGACUUUGGGAUAACUUCAGGAAACUGGGGCUAAUACCGGAUAGGAGCUCCUGCUGCAUGGUGGGGGUUGGAAAGUUUCGGCGGUUGGGGAUGGACUCGCGGCUUAUCAGCUUGUUGGUGGGGUAGUGGCUUACCAAGGCUUUGACGGGUAGCCGGCCUGAGAGGGUGACCGGCCACAUUGGGACUGAGAUACGGCCCAGACUCCUACGGGAGGCAGCAGUGGGGAAUAUUGCACAAUGGGCGGAAGCCUGAUGCGGCAACGCCGCGUGCGGGAUGACGGCCUUCGGGUUGUAAACCGCUUUCGCCUGUGACGAAGCGUGAGUGACGGUAAUGGGUAAAGAAGCACCGGCUAACUACGUGCCAGCAGCCGCGGUGAUACGUAGGGUGCGAGCGUUGUCCGGAUUUAUUGGGCGUAAAGGGCUCGUAGGUGGUUGAUCGCGUCGGAAGUGUAGUCUUGGGGCUUAACCCUGAGCGUGCUUUCGAUACGGGUUGACUUGAGGAAGGUAGGGGAGAAUGGAAUUCCUGGUGGAGCGGUGGAAUGCGCAGAUAUCAGGAGGAACACCAGUGGCGAAGGCGGUUCUCUGGGCCUUUCCUGACGCUGAGGAGCGAAAGCGUGGGGAGCGAACAGGCUUAGAUACCCUGGUAGUCCACGCUGUAAACGGUGGGUACUAGGUGUGGGGUCCAUUCCACGGGUUCCGUGCCGUAGCUAACGCUUUAAGUACCCCGCCUGGGGAGUACGGCCGCAAGGCUAAAACUCAAAGGAAUUGACGGGGCCCCGCACAAGCGGCGGAGCAUGCGGAUUAAUUCGAUGCAACGCGUAGAACCUUACCUGGGUUUGACAUGGAUCGGGAGUGCUCAGAGAUGGGUGUGCCUCUUUUGGGGUCGGUUCACAGGUGGUGCAUGCCUGUCGUCAGCUCGUGUCGUGAGAUGUUGGGUUAAGUCCCGCAACGAGCGCAACCCUUGUUCACUGUUGCCAGCACGUUAUGGUGGGGACUCAGUGGAGACCGCCGGGGUCAACUCGGAGGAAGGUGGGGAUGACGUCAAGUCAUCAUGCCCCUUAUGUCCAGGGCUUCACGCAUGCUACAAUGGCUGGUACAGAGAGUGGCGAGCCUGUGAGGGUGAGCGAAUCUCGGAAAGCCGGUCUCAGUUCGGAUUGGGGUCUGCAACUCGACCUCAUGAAGUCGGAGUCGCUAGUAAUCGCAGAUCAGCAACGCUGCGGUGAAUACGUUCCCGGG